GCUGUGGUAGCCCAGCUGGUAGAGGCGUCGUCAAUACAGAUGAUGGAGGUCGCAAGUUCAAAACUUGCCAGCUGUG
Phthorimaea operculella (potato tuberworm) is the source of this 76-nucleotide non-coding RNA. NCBI's taxonomy places the organism in Eukaryota, Metazoa, Arthropoda, Insecta, Lepidoptera, Gelechiidae. The record is from the annotation of a GenBank genome assembly.